GCCAGUGUGGCGUAGUGGUUUGAAUGUUGGACUACAACUCUCAAGAUCAGGGUUCAAUUCCCAGCUCAGCCG
Molecule: non-coding RNA, 72 nt
Organism: Phrynosoma platyrhinos (Desert horned lizard)
Lineage: Eukaryota; Metazoa; Chordata; Lepidosauria; Squamata; Phrynosomatidae
Source: the annotation of a GenBank genome assembly